GAGUUCAACAGACUCCCAAACCCCCUGUGAACAUAUACCAUUGCCGUUGCCUCGGCGGGAUGACGCCCUGUAGUCUGACUCCGGACGCCCGCCGGCGCCCCAAAACUCUUGUACUGUUUUCUUUUCCGGCAUGUCUGAGUCUAUUCAUACAAAAUGAAUCAAAACUUUCAACAACGGAUCUCUUGGUUCUGGCAUCGAUGAAGAACGCAGCGAAAUGCGAUAAGUAAUGUGAAUUGCAGAAUUCAGUGAAUCAUCGAAUCUUUGAACGCACAUUGCGCCCGCCAGUAUUCUGGCGGGCAUGCCUGUUCGAGCGUCAUUUCAACCCUCAAGCCCCAGCGGCUUGGUGUUGGGGACCGGCGAGUCUUCGCAUCGUCCCGGCGGGAAACCCGAGGCACUGACGGGGCACAUCGACGGCGUCGGCAACUUGCUUGCCGCGUCCUCCUCGCGCCCUGCAACCAGGCCUCUCCACCUCCCCCGGGCAGGCGUUCUCCCCGCCGCCCCCGAAAUGAAUUGGCGGUCUCGCCGCGGCCUCCUCUGCGUAGUAGAACAACCUCGCAGCGGGAGCGCGGCGCGGCCACUGCCGUAAAACGCCCGACCUUCUCUCAGAGUUGG
This 612-nucleotide ribosomal RNA is filed under the name Metarhizium reniforme. Its description in RNAcentral is "eukaryotic LSU rRNA". The stretch from base 163 to 316 matches the Rfam family "5.8S ribosomal RNA". Lineage: Eukaryota; Fungi; Ascomycota; Sordariomycetes; Hypocreales; Clavicipitaceae. The record is from RNAcentral.